CCGAGCGGUAUUUGUCUUUCGGGACAGAGAGAGCGGCGUACGGGUGCGGAACACGUGUGCAACCUACCUUUAUCAGGGGGAUAGCCUUUCGAAAGGAAGAUUAAUACCCCAUAAUAUAUUGAUUGGCAUCAGUUAAUAUUGAAAACUCCGGUGGAUAGAGAUGGGCACGCGCAAGAUUAGAUAGUUGGUAGGGUAACGGCCUACCAAGUCAGUGAUCUUUAGGGGGCCUGAGAGGGUGAUCCCCCACACUGGUACUGAGACACGGACCAGACUCCUACGGGAGGCAGCAGUGAGGAAUAUUGGACAAUGGGUGAGAGCCUGAUCCAGCCAUCCCGCGUGAAGGACGACGGCCCUAUGGGUUGUAAACUUCUUUUGUAUAGGGAUAAACCUUUCCACGUGUGGAAAGCUGAAGGUACUAUACGAAUAAGCACCGGCUAACUCCGUGCCAGCAGCCGCGGUAAUACGGAGGGUGCAAGCGUUAUCCGGAUUUAUUGGGUUUAAAGGGUCCGUAGGCGGAUCUGUAAGUCAGUGGUGAAAUCUCAUAGCUUAACUAUGAAACUGCCAUUGAUACUGCAGGUCUUGAGUAAAGUAGAAGUGGCUGGAAUAAGUAGUGUAGCGGUGAAAUGCAUAGAUAUUACUUAGAACACCAAUUGCGAAGGCAGGUCACUAUGUUUUAACUGACGCUGAUGGACGAAAGCGU
RNAcentral lists this ribosomal RNA (700 nucleotides) under Chryseobacterium piscium. RNAcentral describes it as "bacterial SSU rRNA". It matches the Rfam family "Bacterial small subunit ribosomal RNA", at positions 62 to 762 of the family's 1533-position model. The record is from RNAcentral. Lineage: Bacteria; Pseudomonadati; Bacteroidota; Flavobacteriia; Flavobacteriales; Weeksellaceae.